Molecule: ribosomal RNA, 714 nt
Filed under: uncultured bacterium
Lineage: Bacteria
Description: bacterial SSU rRNA
Rfam family: Bacterial small subunit ribosomal RNA
Source: RNAcentral
AGAGUUUGAUCAUGGCUCAGAUUGAACGCUGGCGGCAGGCCUAACACAUGCAAGUCGAGCGGAUGAGAAGAGCUUGCUCUUCGAUUCAGCGGCGGACGGGUGAGUAAUGCCUAGGAAUCUGCCUGGUAGUGGGGGACAACGUUUCGAAAGGAACGCUAAUACCGCAUACGUCCUACGGGAGAAAGCAGGGGACCUUCGGGCCUUGCGCUAUCAGAUGAGCCUAGGUCGGAUUAGCUAGUUGGUGAGGUAAUGGCUCACCAAGGCGACGAUCCGUAACUGGUCUGAGAGGAUGAUCAGUCACACUGGAACUGAGACACGGUCCAGACUCCUACGGGAGGCAGCAGUGGGGAAUAUUGGACAAUGGGCGAAAGCCUGAUCCAGCCAUGCCGCGUGUGUGAAGAAGGUCUUCGGAUUGUAAAGCACUUUAAGUUGGGAGGAAGGGCAUUAACCUAAUACGUUAGUGUUUUGACGUUACCGACAGAAUAAGCACCGGCUAACUCUGUGCCAGCAGCCGCGGUAAUACAGAGGGUGCAAGCGUUAAUCGGAAUUACUGGGCGUAAAGCGCGCGUAGGUGGUUUGUUAAGUUGGAUGUGAAAGCCCCGGGCUCAACCUGGGAACUGCAUCCAAAACUGGCAAGCUAGAGUACGGUAGAGGGUGGUGGAAUUUCCUGUGUAGCGGUGAAAUGCGUAGAUAUAGGAAGGAACACCAGUGGCG